Molecule: transfer RNA, 67 nt
Filed under: Mustela altaica (mountain weasel)
Lineage: Eukaryota; Metazoa; Chordata; Mammalia; Carnivora; Mustelidae
Description: tRNA-Trp
Source: RNAcentral
AGAAGUUUAGGUUAAAUAGACCAAGGGCCUUCAAAGCCCUAAGUAAGUGAUAUACACUUAACUCCUG